This 736-nucleotide ribosomal RNA is filed under the name uncultured Bacteroidales bacterium. RNAcentral's name for it is "bacterial SSU rRNA". It matches the Rfam family "Bacterial small subunit ribosomal RNA", at positions 48 to 773 of the family's 1533-position model. The record is from RNAcentral. Lineage: Bacteria; Pseudomonadati; Bacteroidota; Bacteroidia; Bacteroidales.
UUAACACAUGCAAGUCGAGGGGCAGCAUGGUCUUAGCUUGCUAAGGCCGAUGGCGACCGGCGCACGGGUGAGUAACACGUAUCCAACCUGCCGUCUACUCUUGGACAGCCUUCUGAAAGGAAGAUUAAUACAAGAUGGCAUCAUGAGUCCACAUGUUCACAUGAUUAAAGGUAUUCCGGUAGACGAUGGGGAUGCGUUCCAUUAGAUAGUAGGCGGGGUAACGGCCCACCUAGUCUUCGAUGGAUAGGGGUUCUGAGAGGAAGGUCCCCCACAUUGGAACUGAGACACGGUCCAAACUCCUACGGGAGGCAGCAGUGAGGAAUAUUGGUCAAUGGGCGAGAGCCUGAACCAGCCAAGUAGCGUGAAGGAUGACUGCCCUAUGGGUUGUAAACUUCUUUUAUAAAGGAAUAAAGUCGGGUAUGGAUACCCGUUUGCAUGUACUUUAUGAAUAAGGAUCGGCUAACUCCGUGCCAGCAGCCGCGGUAAUACGGAGGAUCCGAGCGUUAUCCGGAUUUAUUGGGUUUAAAGGGAGUGUAGAUGGAUACUUAAGUCAGUUGUGAAAGUUUGCGGCUCAACCGUAAAAUUGCAGUUGAUACUGGAUAUCUUGAGUGCAGUUGAGGCAGGCGGAAUUCGUGGUGUAGCGGUGAAAUGCUUAGAUAUCACGAAGAACUCCGAUUGCGAAGGCAGCCUGCUAAGCUGCAACUGACAUUGAGGCUCGAAAGUGUGGGUAUCAAAC